Long non-coding RNA from Syzygium oleosum, 477 nucleotides. RefSeq lists it as uncharacterized. NCBI's taxonomy places the organism in Eukaryota, Viridiplantae, Streptophyta, Magnoliopsida, Myrtales, Myrtaceae. The record is from RefSeq and is a predicted model, not a curated record. The transcript has 2 exons.
UAAUUAAGGACUAGGACGUUAAUGAAACACACUUUCAAUUGUUGUCCUCUAUAAAUUGCUCAUGUCUAGCCCUUUUUACUGCAGGAAACAUGUGCCCAAGAACAUGGUCUCUUCUUUAUGGAAACGUCUGCAAAAACUGCUGCAAAUUUUGGUGACAUUUUCUACGAGUUAGCUAAGAGACUACCCUGAGUUCAGCCAGCACCGAACCCGUUCGGGAAUGGUUCUCAUGGAGAGACCUGCUGAAAGGACGGCGGCUGCAUCGUGUUGUUCUUAAUAUAGUCCUUGUCUGUGCUUUCUGUAAAAGUUUAUGUUGUCUUCUUACAAAAUGCACGAUGAAUUCUCGUCACUCUGAGGUUAUCUCUGCCGAGUUUUCGGGUGGAAUUGUACACGCGAUGUCAAUUUUGGUCCCUAUUAUUGCACAGUUUACGAGUUGUGUGAUCUAAUCUUCAUAUAUAAUGACUAUGGCUUGGCUCCCUA